AACGAACGCUGGCGGCGUGCCUAACACAUGCAAGUCGGACGAGAAAGUUUCCUUCGGGAAGCGAGUAAAGUGGCGCACGGGUGAGUAACACGUAGACAACCUGCCUUCCAGUCCGGGACAACCUUUCGAAAGAAGGGCUAAUACCGGAUAACACUUUGGGCCGCAUGGCCUGGGGUUGAAAGAUUUAUCGCUGGAAGAGGGGUCUGCGGGACAUUAGCUAGUUGGCGGGGUAACGGCCCACCAAGGCGACGAGUCUAGCGGGUCUGAGAGGAGUGAUCCGCCACACUGGAACUGAGACACGGUCCAGACUCCUACGGGAGGGCAGCAGUGGGGAAGUUUUGUCGCAAUGGGCGAAAGACCUGACGCAGCAACGCCGCGUGAGUGAAGAAGGCC
This 393-nucleotide ribosomal RNA is filed under the name uncultured bacterium. Its description in RNAcentral is "bacterial SSU rRNA". It matches the Rfam family "Bacterial small subunit ribosomal RNA", at positions 29 to 416 of the family's 1533-position model. The record is from RNAcentral.